Molecule: ribosomal RNA, 233 nt
Filed under: uncultured bacterium
Lineage: Bacteria
Description: partial 16S ribosomal RNA
Rfam family: Bacterial small subunit ribosomal RNA
Source: RNAcentral
UCCACACAGUAAACGAUAUACACUAGAUGUUGGGUCGGGCACAGUCCGAUUCAGUGUCGUAGCUAACGCGUUAAGUGUAUCGCCUGGGGAGUACGAUCGCAAGGUUUAAACUCAAAGGAAUUGACGGGGGCCCGCACAAGCGGUGGAGCAUGUGGUUUAAUUCGAUGCAACGCGAAGAACCUUACCUGGGCUUGACAUCCCAAGAAUCAAUCAGAGAUGAUUGAGUGCCCUUC